CCUACGGGUGGCAGCAGUGAGGAAUAUUGGUCAAUGGCCGUAAGGCUGAACCAGCCAAGUCGCGUGUAGGAAGAAGGAUCUAUGGUUUGUAAACUUCUUUUAUAGGGGAAUAAAGGUUUCCACGUAUGCAUAUUUUCAUGUACCCUAUGAAUAAGAGUCGGCUAACUCCGUGCCAUCAGCCGCGGUAAUACGGAGGAUGCGAGGGUUAUCCUGAUUUAUUGGGUUUAACGGGUGCGUAGGUGGUUUUUUAAGUUAGUGGUGAAAGUUUGUGGCUCAACCAUAAAAUUGCAGGUGAGACUGGAAGACUUGAGUGUGUUAGAGGGAGGCGGAAUGCGAGGUGUAGCGGUGAAAUGCAUAGAUAUCACGCAGAACUCCGAUUGCGAAGGCAGCGUACUAAGCCAAAACUGACACUGAAGUACGAAAGCGUGGGGAUCAAACAGGAUUAGAUACCCUUGUAGUC
Molecule: ribosomal RNA, 460 nt
Filed under: uncultured bacterium
Lineage: Bacteria
Description: partial 16S ribosomal RNA
Rfam family: Bacterial small subunit ribosomal RNA
Source: RNAcentral